CCUACGUGUGGCAGCAGUGGGGGAUAUUGCACAAUGGGGGAAACCCUGAUGCAGCGACGCCGCGUGUGGGAAGACGGUCCUCUGGAUUGUAAACCACUGUCCCCAGGGACGAAGAUGACGGUACCUGGGCAGGAAGCUCCGGCUAACUACGUGCCAGCAGCCGCGGUAAUACGUAGGGAGCGAGCGUUGUCCGGAAUUACUGGGUGUAAAGGGAGCGUAGGCGGGGGUGCAAGUUGGGUGUCAAAACUACCGGCUCAACUGGUAGUCGCAAUCAAUACUGCCGCUCUUGAGUGAAGUAGAGGCAGGCGGAAUUCGUAGUGUAGCGGUGAAAUGCGUAGAUAUUAGGAAGAACACCAGUGGCGAAGGCAGCCUGCUGGGCUUUUACUGACGCUGAGGCUCGAAAGUGUGGGGAGCAAACAGGAUUAGAUACCCGUGUAGUC
This 440-nucleotide ribosomal RNA is filed under the name uncultured bacterium. Its description in RNAcentral is "partial 16S ribosomal RNA". It matches the Rfam family "Bacterial small subunit ribosomal RNA", at positions 338 to 795 of the family's 1533-position model. The record is from RNAcentral.